RNAcentral lists this ribosomal RNA (1040 nucleotides) under uncultured bacterium. Its description in RNAcentral is "bacterial SSU rRNA". It matches the Rfam family "Bacterial small subunit ribosomal RNA", at positions 331 to 1365 of the family's 1533-position model. The record is from RNAcentral.
CCAAACUCCUACGGGAGGCAGCAGUGAGGAAUAUUGGUCAAUGGACGAGAGUCUGAACCAGCCAAGUAGCGGUGAAGGAUGAAAUGCCCUAUGGGUUGUACACUUCUUUUAUAUGGGAAUAAAAUGUUCCACGUGUGGGAUUUUGUAUGUACCAUAUGAAUAAGGAUCGGCUAACUCCGUGCCAGCAGCCGCGGUAAUACGGAGGAUCCGAGCGUUAUCCGGAUUUAUUGGGUUUAAAGGGAGCGUAGGUGGAUUGUUAAGUCAGUUGUGAAAGUUUGCGGCUCAACCGUAAAAUUGCAGUUGAAACUGGCAGUCUUGAGUACAGUAGAGGUGGGCGGAAUUCGUGGUGUAGCGGUGAAAUGCUUAGAUAUCUAGAAAGAACUCCGAUUGGGGAAGGCAGCCCACUGGACCUGCAACUGACACUGAGGGCUCGAAAAUGGGGGUAUCAAACAGGAUUAGAAUACCCUGGGUAGUCCACACAGUAAACGAGGAAUACUCGCUGUUUGCGAUAUACGGCAAGCGGCCAAGCGAAAGCAUUAAGUAUUCCACCUGGGGAGUACGCCGGCAACGGUGAAAACUCAAAGGAAUUGACGGGGGCCCGCACAAGCGGAGGAACAUGUGGUUUAAUUCGAUGAUACGCGAGGAACCUUACCCGGGCUUAAACUGCACCUGAAUAAUGUGGAAACAUGUUAGCCGUAAGGCAGGUGUGAAGGUGCUGCAUGGUUGUCGUCAGCUCGUGCCGUGAGGUGUCGGCUUAAGUGCCAUAACGAGCGCAACCCUUAUCUUCAGUUACUAACAGGUCAUGCUGAGGACUCUGGAGAGACUGCCGUCGUAAGAUGUGAGGAAGGUGGGGAUGACGUCAAAUCAGCACGGCCCUUACGUCCGGGGCUACACACGUGUUACAAUGGGAGGUACAGAAGGCCGCUACCUGGCGACAGGAUGCCAAUCCCCAAAACCUCUCUCAGUUCGGAUCGAAGUCUGCAACCCGACUUCGUGAAGCUGGAUUCGCUAGUAAUCGCGCAUCAGCCAUGGCGCGGUGA